CUCGUUUCUUCUCUUCCCCAUUUCCGUUUCUCUCUCCCCCUCCCCCCAACUUCUCUAUUCUUCAUUCCUUCUCUUCCCCAUUUCCGUUUUCUUCCUUCUCUUCCUCCAUUGGUUCCAUUUUCUUUCCUUCUAUUGUUCGUGCUGUGGAGGACUGUGUAGGAGUUUGGUGCUUGGUUGGUACUUCGUUCGCGGUUGAUUUUCUACUAUCCAGUUAAUGUGUAAGGACACACUUUUUUUUAAAAGAGAAGUGGUUGGGGAGAGGCUUCACGUCCGGCAACAGCAGUUGGAUGGUGAGUCAUUCCACCUUGAACUGCUCCAGUCACCAGGAAUCAUCAUGUUCAUCAUUUUCAUAUGGGCAUGGCACUGAGGAGGGAAGGGAAUGUGACCUUUUUAGACUUCUUGAAGACUUCCUUUAUAGACCUUGAAUCAACUUUCACAAGACUUGCAGCACCUUGGCCUCUUUGCAAUUCCAGAAGCUCUCAACUUCACCUCUCUCACGGAUUUUUUUGCAGCAAGGAUUUCACUCCCCACAGUUUCAGAACCCAAUCCCCUUUUGAAUCAAUGGGCUCUUCCCUUUAAGAGAAAGGAAAUUUGUGCACUCCACUGGAUGGUGCUAGCUGGACGGUUCUCAGUCAUUCCCUUCCCUCUUCAGUGCCAUGCCCACUAUGAAGAUGAUGAUGAUUCCUGGUGGCUGGAGCACUUCAAGGUGGAAUGACUCACCAUCCACCAGCUGCUGUUGCUGGACAUGAAGCCCCUCCCCCACCACUUCUUUUUUAAAAAAAACGUGCGGUCCUUACAGGUGACAUAAUCAUGAACAGGAGAAAAUACAGAUGGUUAUUCUGAGAGAAAUUUGGGGCAACAGCGGGCUAAAUCCUCUAUCAGCUUUACCUUACCUCUCUGUACUGUCUCUGGGCUUUGCCAUGAUCUUUUAAUUCCAGUUACCAACUUUCAUAAUGAAGACAAGGGCUAUAUGGUUUUACCUGGAGAUGUUUUUUGAUUUGCCUAUUCGGAAGGAAAUCGUGUCGUUAGGUGGAAGCUUGCAAAAUGACAACAGUUCAGGGGUGGUGCCACCAUGCAUGGCCCACGGUCUCGAAGUCAUCCUUUCAAAGUCAAUAAGAAGGUUCGGCGUCUAGGGUUAAAGAUUCUCGUGCAAUAGAAGGAAGAGAGCUUCUUCCUGCACCUCAUCCAUCUCAGCCUACACCUCCAAAUUUUAUGAUUUUUCCAUCUGUGCCUUUGUCAAAAAGAAUCUUUGAUUGCAUUUUCUUUUUAAUUGACUCAUUCCAACAAAACCCUACACCACCCACCCCCUCCUCUCUCAAAUUGCGUAACCAAACCUUACGCCACCCUUGUCUCCUCUCUUCUCGCAAUCUCAUAUCGCGUCUUGCCUCCUCCCCUCCUCCCUCAUUUGCCUUCUCAAUUUGCCGUUCAUCCUCACAAUUCUCUUCUCGUCAUUGUCCUUUGGCGACUGUCGUGGUGGUGGUGAGAGCCUUUCCUUGGAGAGCUUCUCCUUGCACCUCAUAUUGACUUCUGGAAGAUUUCGUUUUUAAAAAUUAAGUUUAUUUUUAAUUAUACUACUUGUAUGACUAUUUUUUUUUCAAUGUACGUUUCAUUGAAAAUUAACUAUCACUAUACCUAAAAAUUUGGUUGUGGUGUUGUAUUUGCUGCAAUGAAAACCCUCCAACAAAAUCAGAA
Vigna umbellata (rice bean) is the source of this 1692-nucleotide long non-coding RNA. RefSeq lists it as uncharacterized. The record is from RefSeq and is a predicted model, not a curated record. NCBI's taxonomy places the organism in Eukaryota, Viridiplantae, Streptophyta, Magnoliopsida, Fabales, Fabaceae.